This 66-nucleotide transfer RNA is filed under the name marine eukaryotic metagenome. It matches the Rfam family "tRNA", at positions 5 to 66 of the family's 71-position model. Rfam says of the family: Transfer RNA (tRNA) molecules are approximately 80 nucleotides in length. Their secondary structure includes four short double-helical elements and three loops (D, anti-codon, and T loops). Further hydrogen bonds mediate the characteristic L-shaped molecular structure. tRNAs have two regions of fundamental functional importance: the anti-codon, which is responsible for specific mRNA codon recognition, and the 3' end, to which the tRNAs corresponding amino acid is attached (by aminoacyl-tRNA synthetases). tRNAs cope with the degeneracy of the genetic code in two manners: having more than one tRNA (with a specific anti-codon) for a particular amino acid; and 'wobble' base-pairing, i.e. permitting non-standard base-pairing at the 3rd anti-codon position. The record is from RNAcentral.
CGUUAGCUCAAUGGUUAGAGCAGGGGACUCAUAAUCCCUUGGUCGCAGGUUCGAAUCCUGCACGGC